This 489-nucleotide ribosomal RNA is filed under the name uncultured bacterium. RNAcentral describes it as "partial 16S ribosomal RNA". It matches the Rfam family "Bacterial small subunit ribosomal RNA", at positions 899 to 1397 of the family's 1533-position model. The record is from RNAcentral.
ACUCAAAGGAAUUGACGGGGGCCCGCACAAGCGGUGGAGCGUGUGGUUUAAUUCGACGCUAAGCGAAGAACCUUACCAGGGCUUGACAUCCUGAUCAUAUCCCGUGGAAACACGGGAGUCAGUUCGGCUGGAUCAGUGACAGGUGCUGCAUGGUCGUCGUCAGCUCGUGUCGUGAGAUGUUGGGUUAAGUCCCGCAACGAGCGCAACCCUUGUCGUGUGUUGUAUUUUUCACGCGAGACUGCCUAGGUUAACUAGGAGGAAGGUGGGGAUGACGUCAGAUCAGCAUGGCCCUUAUGCCCUGGGCCACACACGCGCUACAAUGGCCGGUACAAUGGGUCGCGAAACCGCAAGGUGGAGCUAAUCCCAUCAAAGCCGGUCCCAGUUCGGAUUGGAGGCUGCAACUCGCCUCCAUGAAGUCGGAAUCGCUAGUAAUCGCAGAUCAGCCAUGCUGCGGUGAAUACGUUCUCGGGCCUUGUACACACCGCCCGU